GACAAACCAGAAAAAAAUUG
Molecule: ribosomal RNA, 20 nt
Filed under: Megalophaedusa gracilispira
Lineage: Eukaryota; Metazoa; Mollusca; Gastropoda; Stylommatophora; Clausiliidae
Description: Tyrannophaedusa gracilispira partial 5.8S rRNA
Source: RNAcentral